Molecule: unclassified non-coding RNA, 2182 nt
Filed under: Penaeus japonicus
Lineage: Eukaryota; Metazoa; Arthropoda; Malacostraca; Decapoda; Penaeidae
Description: golgi membrane protein 1-like, transcript variant X2
Source: RNAcentral
CCGAAGACCUCACUUAGUAGCGACGUAGACUUACCUACGUAUCAUCUAUCCAGAAAGGUCAAGCGCUUCUGUCCGAUUUUACACCUUGUCGGAUUAUAUAAGUACUCAAGGAUUAUAUAAAACUAUAUAAUCAAAUGACACAUACUUCAUAAGAGCAAAAGUAAGCAAAAGGAAAAGAGAGAAGAGCAGGUGAAGCCUGGUGGACGGAAUCGCACGACGUGGUUGUGUGGCAGCAAAGAUGCUCCGAAGAGGCACGGGGCGAACUCCCCCAUUUAUUUUGGUGGGUCUUGUGCUCGUUGUGCUCAUAUUAGCCUUCAACUACUGGACUCUUUCGUCGCAGAAUGCCGACUUGCAACAGGAGAUAGAAAAAAUCCAAGCUGAGGUCAAAAUCAGUGCUGUCAAGCAGGAACAGUCAGAAAAGAAGAAUGCAGCCCUUGGGGAGACCGUCCAUGAGAUGGAAGAGCUGUCUGGUAAGCUCAAGCAGAAGCUCAAGGAGGAAGAUGACGCACUCUCCAAGGCAGACAAGGCUAAUCGAGAGAAGAACUACGAGAUCACGAGCCUGAAGAACCAAGUUGCCAAGUUUGAGGAACAGAUUCUCUCCCUGACCCAACAAGUGGAGGAACGUGAGGUCGAGCUCAGCAAAGCCAAGGAGGCCAACACACACUUGGCCUCGGAGCGUGAUGAUGCCGUGGAAGCCAUUGCCGAGAAGGACACCCUCAUCAACACCCUCAAGAGACAACUAGAACAGGUGACAGUGAAAAGGUCUCACCUCACACUCUCCCUGGCAACAUGUAAUUCAGAGCUGGUUGGACUUAAGAAAGAGUGUGAAGAGUCACAAAGAGCAGCUGAUGACUUAGCUGAUAUUAUUGUCCAGACCAAGCGAGACGUGCAGUUGGAGUUCGAGUCAAAACUAAGCCAAGCAAAGGAGCAGCUUGCGGAGGAAAAGAGUCGCAGCAGCACCCUUCAGUACUCUGUGGAUGACCUACAGAAGAAAUUGACUCAAACCUAUGGUGACUUGACUGAAUGUGAAGAUAAAGUUGCAGAGAUUGAGACCUCCUUGAAAGCUCAGGUGGCCAAGGAAGUGAAGGAAAAGUCAAGAAGUGCCAUUCUGGAGAACUCUGUCUCGGAUCUGAACAGCAAACUGACUCAGACCUUGGCGGAGUUGACAGAGUGCGAAGAGAGUGUGGUAAAGCUCAAAACCGUGGCUGAAGCACACGAGGCUGAGCUCUCGAAGGCCCAGAAUGAGGUGGCGGCUGUGAGGAGAGAGAAGAUGGCCGUGGCAAAGCCGGAGAUGGUCCCAGGGGGCAUGAACUUGCCUGGAAUACAGCACAAAGAUCCCUACCUCGGCCCAGGGCAGCUUGGGUAUGUACAGCGGGGGGUGGUACAGACCCGUGAUAAGGGGCUGGAUGGUAUCACCUUCCACCGGGGGCUGCCCAUCCUCCCUCGUGACUCCCCAAAUACCCCCCGCAAGCAACCCAGAUUCAGUGUAGCUGACAUAGCGAAGGAGAUGAAGAUGGCAGAGAAUGAACAGGACACAGGUGUUCUAGCCAACCCCCAGGCCAUUGCACCUCAGCACAUUGUAGAGAACCAUGGAAACGCACAUGGAGCAGCAGGAGGAAUCUUAGGAUUGCCCGAGUUUAGGGCAUUGCCCCUGCCUGCCCAAAGGCGAGGGAUGUUCACCCGAAGUCACAUGGCCCCUCCACCCAGGGUUGUACCUGUCCCAGGCCCGGCCGUCAUGGAAAGACCAGCUCCUCCAGUAGCCAAUAAUAACAUGCCGAUUCAGCCCCCUGAGGGUGUGGAGGGUGAUGGCAACCACAACAACCUACUUGGAAAUAAUAAUGGUCUGAAAGCCAAUGAUUCGAAUGCAGAAGAUGCUGCAAAUUUGCUUAAACUGCGUCAAGAAAAGGAGGACGAAGAAGAGAAAGGGAAUAAAGCUGAGGAAGAUUUGAACGAUGACAAUAAACAAGGUGAAGAGAAGGAAAAGGCAUAAGAAGAAUGGGGCAGAAAUUAGAUAGAAAACUUCUCCGGAUAUUAACAGCAUACAAUUUGGACGCGGCAAUAGACGAGGAGGAGAAGAUCGUAGAGGACCUGAUGGACGACCAGGACGAGGAGGGCAAUGAGGUCAAGCGCAACAAUGAGGAAGUCCUGGAUGAGGAUAAUGCCCUGGAAGACCUCAAAGACC